Long non-coding RNA from Juglans regia (Persian walnut), 490 nucleotides. RefSeq lists it as uncharacterized. NCBI's taxonomy places the organism in Eukaryota, Viridiplantae, Streptophyta, Magnoliopsida, Fagales, Juglandaceae. The transcript is spliced from 2 exons. The record is from RefSeq and is a predicted model, not a curated record.
UUAUUAUUGGUAUCUGAUAUUUCUUGUACUUGAAUGAUAUAAGAUUACAUGUUUGCAUGGCUUGUGCUUGUAUGUAUUAAUUAAAGACCUACCUGCUAGUCGGUGCCUUGCAGAAAGUGUUUGGAAUAUUUUCUAAAGCAAUCAUUUUCUCGGAGUAAGAGUGAUGGCAUGUUUAGGUUUCUCUAGUUUCAGAAACUAAAAGCCAAAAAGGAGAGCCAAAUGAGGUUGAUGCUCAUAAUUCAUAAUAGGUUAGAACUGGGUUUUCCUUACUUUGUCAUGUGUAUUGAAUUGAUCCUGUUGACUUGUCUUAUCGUGUAUCAACCUCUCAUUCUUGUAAUCUCAAUCACAACUUGAAUAACGCUGGACAGAUGCUUUCUCAAUUGCCAUCACCUUUCUUUUUCAAUUGGUGAUGCCAUUUUAAUUCCGUCUUGCUCAAAUGUACUGAUUCAGUGUACAAUUCCCCCCCCCCCCCAAAAAAAAAAAAAAAAAA